AGGCCAUGGUGGGGCAAGGCCAUGAGACAAUGGAAGACCAACAAAGAGAAGGUUACAGUAAUCAAGGCAAGAGAGGUCUGGGGUGUGCGUCACACUUCUUGACAAUGAGAUAGAGAGGAAGGGUUGCAUUUUUAUAAUAAUGUAAAGAGAGAAGCAAUGAAAAUAAUGUAAAGAGCGAAGGACUGUAGCAGGGGAAUGAGGCAGCAAAGGAGACCGGGCUACAUGCCUGAUAGGGCAGAUGGUGACAUUGUCAAUGGUUAAGGUAAAUAAAUGCAGAAAGGAGAGCUUGGGAGGAAAGAUGAGGAGAUCUGUCUUGACAUUUUGAAUUUCGGAUGCUGAUGAAGCAUUCAAACAGAAGUACCUGAGAAGCACUAGGAGAUGCAAGAUUGGAUGGAAAGAGAAGGUUCUGCAGUGGAGAACUAGAGACUGGUAUAAUCUGGUAAUAUACAAAAUGUGUGGAAGGAAAAAUGGGACCUGCAAACCUUAAUGCAGUGUAUCAUAUUAUAUUUGGAAUGUUGUAUGGGGAUCUUCAUGAAAUCUGAUAUUACAUUCAAGAUCAUGGUAUUGCUAGUUUAAUUUCCCUUAUAUGGCAAAUGAUAUAAUUUUUCCAUAUUAGGAUACACCCAUUGUAUACCAUCACAACUGAGUUGUAGCAUAAUAAGCCUUUGUUAGACGGUCUCCAGCUUUCAAAAAGGCUAGUGAUGACACUUCAGUUCACAAGCUCUGAAAGGCCCAUCAAGGACAGGGGGGUGCUCUAGCUGUUAGCAGCUCAAAGGGGAAGAGCAAGAAGAGACAUGGCAAGAUUCAUACCCAGCAAGAGAAGCUUGACCCAUUGCCGUCGCCGGAGGCAACAAAGAGGAAGUCAACAUGGAGGUGGAUCUGGAAGGAGAAGGCGGCAGCAGCAUGACAGAAGGAGAAAAGGUCGCAGAUCUCAUGAGAAUAGGAGGAGGAGGACAUGAAUAAACUCUACCUUCAAGGUCUCCUUCACUCUUGAUCUGAAAAGCUGACCUCUCUCUGCCAGACAAAAGUGAAAUGAAGCAAAUUUCUUGCAUCAGAACAUCCAAGAUGCCUUCCCAGGAAUCCAAAAACUUGAAUUGAACAAGGCCACCUGUCAAUAAAUGCAACCAUUUCAUUUCUGUA
Hemicordylus capensis (graceful crag lizard) is the source of this 1140-nucleotide long non-coding RNA. RefSeq lists it as uncharacterized. The transcript has 2 exons. Lineage: Eukaryota; Metazoa; Chordata; Lepidosauria; Squamata; Cordylidae. The record is from RefSeq and is a predicted model, not a curated record.